UUAAUUGAAGAGUUUGAUCAUGGCUCAGAUUGAACGCUGGCGGCAGGCCUAACACAUGCAAGUCGAGCGGCAGCACAGAGAAACUUGUUUCU
Molecule: ribosomal RNA, 92 nt
Filed under: Vibrio vulnificus
Lineage: Bacteria; Pseudomonadati; Pseudomonadota; Gammaproteobacteria; Vibrionales; Vibrionaceae
Description: partial 16S ribosomal RNA
Rfam family: Bacterial small subunit ribosomal RNA
Source: RNAcentral